UACGUAGGGGGCAAGCGUUGUCCGGAAUCAUUGGGCGUAAAGAGCGCGUAGGCGGUCCGGUAAGUCGGUUGUGAAAGCUGGGGGCUCAACCCUCAGAGGCCGACCGAUACUGUCGGGCUAGAGUCCGGAAGAGGCGAGUGGAAUUCCUGGUGUAGCGGUGAAAUGCGCAGAUAUCAGGAGGAACACCAAUGGCGAAGGCGGCAUCCUGGACCAACACUGACGCUGAGUGAGCGAAAGCGUGGGGAGCGAACAGG
RNAcentral lists this ribosomal RNA (254 nucleotides) under uncultured bacterium. RNAcentral's name for it is "partial 16S ribosomal RNA". It matches the Rfam family "Bacterial small subunit ribosomal RNA", at positions 524 to 776 of the family's 1533-position model. The record is from RNAcentral.